This 465-nucleotide ribosomal RNA is filed under the name Vreelandella stevensii. RNAcentral's name for it is "partial 16S ribosomal RNA". It matches the Rfam family "Bacterial small subunit ribosomal RNA", at positions 338 to 795 of the family's 1533-position model. The record is from RNAcentral. Lineage: Bacteria; Pseudomonadati; Pseudomonadota; Gammaproteobacteria; Oceanospirillales; Halomonadaceae.
CCUACGGGUGGCAGCAGUGGGGAAUAUUGGACAAUGGGCGAAAGCCUGAUCCAGCCAUGCCGCGUGUGUGAAGAAGGCCUUCGGGUUGUAAAGCACUUUCAGUGGGGAAGAAAGCCUUGGGGCUAAUACCCUCGAGGAAGGACAUCACCCACAGAGGAAGCACCGGCUAACUCCGUGCCAGCAGCCGCGGUAAUACGGAGGGUGCGAGCGUUAAUCGGAAUUACUGGGCGUAAAGCGCGCGUAGGCGGUCUGAUAAGCCGGUUGUGAAAGCCCCGGGCUCAACCUGGGAACGGCAUCCGGAACUGUCAGGCUAGAGUGCAGGAGAGGAAGGUAGAAUUCCCGGUGUAGCGGUGAAAUGCGUAGAGAUCGGGAGGAAUACCAGUGGCGAAGGCGGCCUUCUGGACUGACACUGACGCUGAGGUGCGAAAGCGUGGGUAGCAAACAGGAUUAGAUACCCCUGUAGUC